GACGAACGCUGGCGGCGUGCUUAACACAUGCAAGUCGAACGGAAAGGCCCUGCUUUUGUGGCGCGCUCGAGUGGCGAACGGGUGAGUAACACGCGAGUAACCUGCCCUUGACUUUGGGAUAACUUCAGGAAACUCGGGCUAAUACCGGAUAGGAGCUCCUGCUGCAUGGUGGGGGUUGGAAAGAUUCGGCGGUUGGGGAUGGACUCGAGGCUUAUCAGCUUGUUGGUGGGGUAGUGGCUUACCAAGGCUUUGACGGAUAGCCGGCCUGAGAGGGUGACCGGCCACAUUGGGACUGAGGUACGGCCCAGACUGCUACGGGAGGCAGCGGGGGGGAAUAUUGCACAAUGGGCGGAAGCCUGAUGCAGCAACGCCGCGUGCGGGAUGACGGCCUUCGGGUUGUAAACCGCUUUCGCCUGAGACGAAGCGUGAGUGACGGUAAUGGGUAAAGAAGCACCGGCUAACUACGUG
Molecule: ribosomal RNA, 468 nt
Filed under: uncultured bacterium
Lineage: Bacteria
Description: partial 16S ribosomal RNA
Rfam family: Bacterial small subunit ribosomal RNA
Source: RNAcentral